UACGUAGGGUGCAAGCGUUAAUCGGAAUUACUGGGCGUAAAGCGUGCGCAGGCGGUUAUGCAAGACAGAUGUGAAAUCCCCGGGCUCAACCUGGGAACUGCAUUUGUGACUGCAUGGCUAGAGUACGGUAGAGGGGGAUGGAAUUCCGCGUGUAGCGGUGAAAUGCGUAGAUAUGCGGAGGAACACCGAUGGCGAAGGCAAUCCCCUGGACCUGUACUGACGCUCAUGCACGAAAGCGUGGGGAGCAAACAGG
Molecule: ribosomal RNA, 253 nt
Filed under: uncultured bacterium
Lineage: Bacteria
Description: partial 16S ribosomal RNA
Rfam family: Bacterial small subunit ribosomal RNA
Source: RNAcentral